This 256-nucleotide ribosomal RNA is filed under the name uncultured bacterium. RNAcentral describes it as "partial 16S ribosomal RNA". It matches the Rfam family "Bacterial small subunit ribosomal RNA", at positions 524 to 776 of the family's 1533-position model. The record is from RNAcentral.
UACGUAGGGUGCAAGCGUUGUCCGGAAUUACUGGGCGUAAAGAGCUCGUAGGCGGUUUGUCGCGUCGUCUGUGAAAACCAGCAGCUCAACUGUUGGCUUGCAGGCGAUACGGGCAGACUUGAGUAUUUCAGGGGAGACUGGAAUUCCUGGUGUAGCGGUGAAAUGCGCAGAUAUCAGGGAGGAACACCGGUGGGCGAAAGGCGGGUCUCUGGGAAAUAACUGACGCUGAGGAGCGAAAGCGUGGGUAGCGAACAGG